CAAACCCGGGACCUUUCGGUCCACAGGCUGACGCUCUAUCCACUGAGCCACACCGGCCAGGUCCAGGCAGUCCUCCCUUUGAGAAGAUGGAGCAGGGCCAGCGCUAGCCCUCCUGAUAGCUGAAGGCUGGGUGGGGCUCAGGCCCUGCGGGGAGCGUGCGGGAGGGGAUGGAAGGCAGAGAGCAGAGCUGCCCCGACAACAGGAGCAGGUGGACGUGGUUCCCCGGGCAGACGGGCGGCACCACAGCCGUCUGGAGCUUGUCUGUCCUGGUCGCUGCCCUGACCCCAGGGCCCAGCACCAUCCCUGGCACGGCCAGGCACUCCGCCAAGAUUUGUGCAGCCCGCACUGUGGAAGCAAAUCAGACACAGUUUGCACAGUGUUGUCAAGGGGGCUGAAAUCAGAAGGAACCAUCUAGAAGGGUCCACUUCUUCAGCGUCCGAGGAUGAGCCCAGCGCUUGCCCCUGUCCACGUGGGAGCCGCCUCCUCGACCUCUGAUCACCGCCUCGGGAAGAAGCAGGGACGCUCAGCGGUGGAGCUCGAGGCUGCCGGGGAGGUCCAAGUGCCUCCAGUUCUCAUCCGAAGAGGAACACACCAGAGAGUCGCCACUCAAGGUGGCAAAGGUCACACAGGCCACGGGGAGAGGCAAGUCCCAGGCUGAGCCGCCGGGGCCACGAGAGGUGGCGGCCCUGGGGGAGGGGGGAGAGCCCACGCCCUGGUCUCCGGAGGAGCCUGCGUGGCUCUCAGACUCCACACGGGGACACGCAGCCCUCCUGCUCCUGGGCCCUGGCUCCCCGCCGCUCUCCCUGGCUCCCAGCUGGGCCACAGCCAGCCACGUGGGCCCGUGGCAGGGACACGCCUGUGUGUCUGGGCCCCACAGCUCCGUGUGGAAGCCCUGGGCUGUGACACGGGGCUGGGGACAGUAAACACAUCAUCUCCUGUCCUACAGUGACCCUGAGAAGCAAGGGGUAUUUUUUUCUGGUUUAAAGAGACUGAAAACAAAGCUCAGAGACGCUACGUCGUUCGCUUGAGUCAACCCCGCCAAGUAGGCACCAAGAAGACAUCAGAAUGCAGUCAGUCUGCGUGUUCAUCUUCCCAAGAGCUAAAGGCAGCACGCACUUCUGUUCCUGACCGGGGACAAGGCCUGGGGCCCUCUGUGGGUUCGCCAGAGAAGCUUCUGGAAAGUUUCUGAACUCCCCAAAGAGAAGAACAUUUCCCCCCCCUCGUGCAAGCACGUCCCCUCAGGCCUGGGGCAGCCUAACGGGUGGCUUUGCUGCGCCUGAACCGGGCACGGAGUGGGCUCCUCAGGCAAACAGUGCCCACCCGCCAGGCAACGAAAACCAAAGACGGAGAGUCGGGACCAGUGGGCACGAAGGCUGCACCCCAGGCCCCAGCCGUCCGUCCGGAGGGGGCUGGAGGCCAGCCUUGGCAGGGAACCUUCUCUCUGCCCACGGCCAUUUGGGUGUUUGCGACAUCAUUCCGGGGCCAUACAAAAGGAUCAACUUGAACAUGAGCCUGCUGCAUGUGGUGAAACAUUUAACGA
Myotis brandtii (Brandt's bat) is the source of this 1540-nucleotide long non-coding RNA. RefSeq lists it as uncharacterized. NCBI's taxonomy places the organism in Eukaryota, Metazoa, Chordata, Mammalia, Chiroptera, Vespertilionidae. The transcript has 3 exons. The record is from RefSeq and is a predicted model, not a curated record.